AUUCCUCCUCAUCCAGUCAUCCCCAACCUCUCGCAUCGGCUUCUUCGUGCAGUGCGGUCACAGCGUCAUCAGGCGGCGGCGCCGCCACCGUAGACGACGGGGUCUACCGUCGUGGGCGGCCGUAUUUGGCCGUUCAGCCAACACCGCGAGAAAACAGUCGACGCCGGUUAGGCCUUGACCUCGCCGGUGGCAACGGCACCACGACAAGGUACAACCAUUGUCAAAGAGGACCCGAGCUCGGCGGCGGCGACGGCGGCGGCGGCGGCGGCGUCAACGUCACAAGGAGAUACGACUAGCGACGGUUAGGGCCCUGAGCUUGCCGGCGGCGGUGGUACUGCAAGGGAGCGGGCUGGAGCUUGAGGCGCCGUUGAUGGAGAUGGCCCUGCGCUCGCCGACGAAGUCAAAAGCUCAACAGUGAAUGGAGUGGGACCGGGACGAGGACGUGGGCGGAGAUGGUUGGCCUUAGAGGGAUGGUUGAAGCUAGCCUUGGUUUGGUUGGGCGGGGUUAGCGUGGUGGCGGGGUAAGCAAUAGGGAUAGAGGGGAGCAGCGUGGCAAGGCUGCGGGAGGAGAAAAUAACUCACCUAGUUGUUGGGCCAAGCUUGCCGGAGGGAAGGCAGAUAUGGGGCUCACUUGCGUUGAGUUUGUUGGCAUUUUGUCACAGAUGAGAAAUUAAGAAGUUGGUGAAGAGAGAGGAAGGCCACUAAUAUGGGGGCGGUGGAAGAGGCUUGGCGGGGGUGCUCCUCGCAUCGGAUACAUCACCGUCUCGAUUAAGUCGCAACUGGAGGACAACGGGAAGAGGAUAAUGUGGAUCGGGUGCAAGCUAAUUGGUUUGCUCGGAUUAGCUCGUGUACUAUAU
This 857-nucleotide long non-coding RNA is filed under the name Oryza sativa Indica Group (long-grained rice). RNAcentral's name for it is "lncRNA OsMH63_06G013690". Lineage: Eukaryota; Viridiplantae; Streptophyta; Magnoliopsida; Poales; Poaceae. RNAcentral also lists the same sequence under 1 other name. The record is from RNAcentral.